GACGAACGCUGGCGGCGUGCUUAACACAUGCAAGUCGAACGGAAAGGCCCUGCUUGCGGGGUACUCGCGUGGCGAACGGGUGAGUAAAACGUGGGUGAACUGCCCUGCACUUCGGGGUAAGAUUGGGAGACUGGGUCUAAUACAGGAUAGGAGACAUCUUUAGUGUUGUGGUUGGAAAGUAUUUUGGGUGUUGGGUGAGCUCGCGGCCUGUCAGCUUGUUGGUGGGGUGAUGGCCUACCAAGGGGGCGUCGGGUGGCUGGCCUGUGAGGGUGUACGGCCACAGUUGGGCUGAGAGAUGGCGCAGACACCCACGGGGGGCAGAAGUGGGGAAUAUUGCGCAAUGUGCGCAAGCCUGAGGCACAGAAGCGGCGUGUGGGAUGAAGGCGUUCGGGUGGUAAACUCCUUUCGCUCGGGACGAAGCGUUGUUGUGACGGUAACUAGUAAAGAAGCACCGGCUAACUACGUG
This 466-nucleotide ribosomal RNA is filed under the name uncultured bacterium. RNAcentral describes it as "partial 16S ribosomal RNA". It matches the Rfam family "Bacterial small subunit ribosomal RNA", at positions 28 to 507 of the family's 1533-position model. The record is from RNAcentral.